UGGGAGAUCGUCUAACGGUAGGACAGAAGCCUUUGAAGCUUUUAAUCUAGGUUCGAUUCCUAGUCUCCCAGCCA
This 74-nucleotide transfer RNA is filed under the name Candidatus Nomurabacteria bacterium. RNAcentral's name for it is "tRNA-Gln". It matches the Rfam family "tRNA". From Rfam's summary of the family: Transfer RNA (tRNA) molecules are approximately 80 nucleotides in length. Lineage: Bacteria; Candidatus Nomuraibacteriota. The record is from RNAcentral.